RNAcentral lists this long non-coding RNA (659 nucleotides) under Gossypium raimondii (Peruvian cotton). RNAcentral's name for it is "long non-coding RNA (GRAI_LNC002383)". Lineage: Eukaryota; Viridiplantae; Streptophyta; Magnoliopsida; Malvales; Malvaceae. The record is from RNAcentral.
GCACUGGAAGCCUGAAUAGCAAUGGAAGAGGAAGAAGAAGAUGAUGAUCUCCUAGUGGAUUGAGGCUUAGGAUGGUUAUGGCUGCCCUUGUAAACUAUCUCAGUUAUCUGCCCGUCUAAGGAUCUCUCAACUUUCUUCUUUGUUGGGCAGUUUGGGUACGUGCACUUGUAGUAACUUCUGGGGUUUUCACUGCCUUUCACUUGCUUUUGUCCAUAUUUCCUCCAAUUGUAUCCAUCGUCGGAUUUUCGAUUCCCUCUUAAAGACUGAGAUUGUUGAUGCUGGUAAUUGGUGUAAUCCGAUUGGCAGCUUUGGAUGUUGGCUAUCUCAGGGGAAAAGCUCUGCAUCUGGUUGUAUUCCGAUUUCACCAUGUUCUUCCCUGAGGAAAAAUCAGCUUCCUUUACAGACUCUUUGAAGCUCCAUGCUUCUUGUUGCGCCUGCAAAUUGGAAAAAAACUCGAUGAAAAUCCUUUCCUUUAUAUUUUCAAAGAUCAAGGAUAAUCGUUUGAGUUGAAGUACACACAGUUUGAUUUGUGUUGGUUGAUGAUUGAAAGGUUUGGAAAGAGAAAUCAGUGUAGCUUUUGUCUACUCGUUUGACGUUUUGCUGGUUAUUACCAGAACUGGGUUUCCAAUUGAAAGCUUGAGCUGGAAAUGUUCCAGUUG